GGGAGAGCUCUGAGGGAGAGGACUUAGAGGAAGGAAACCUUAUGGAGGCAGAGGAGCCUUGAGGAAGAAGGAACGAUCUAGAGAGACCCACAGAAGUAUGAAACAAGGAAGAGAGUUGGAAGAUCUGCUGUGGGGUCAGUCUGGGUCCGAUGGAGAUGGAGCCUGCAGUCAUUGUGGAGCCAGGUAAAGGCCUGUGGUCAGAGGCAGCAAGGAAAUACUUGCAGUAAUGUUCCUGCAGGAAUAGCCAGCAGAAAGAUUCUGCCAGAGAAGCCAACAGCAGGAGUUUGCUGUAGUCAGAGUCAGGAUGGCUAAGCUGUAAAAGAGAAUAAACCAGGACCCUUUUCACAGUACUAAAUGUGACUCUGCGUCUUGGCUCAUUUCUACCCCUAAUGAGAGGUCUGCUGCAGCACUGAGACCAAGAUAGGGUAUCUGAGGGCAGCUGAUAAAGGAGGAAUAACCUACCUGUUAUCUGGGCUGCAGCACGAGGGAGGAGAGCAAAGGCCACCUCCUACCUAUCAACUGGAGAGGUAAUGAGCACUCCCUUACCUGGAUCUAGUGGUUUGCAGGCACAAGAGAAGUUCAUGGCAUAGUCCACCUUGAACUGGGAGUUGAUGGGAUAAUGAUCUGCCAGCUUGAUCAUCUUGAAAGCAUCAUAAACGAAGAAGAAGCUGAUCAGGGAGGAAAAUCCCUCUUUGGUCAAGAGGGUGAAGUAUUUGACCUGGAAGCUGGUGUUGGUGGCCACAGGAAGGCUGACCAGAGGCUGAUCCAGAGGUGGAGCAUGAGGGUUUUUGAUGAACUUACUGCUUUCCAGAGCAGUGCUUUUCCAAGCAACCACCAGUUCUGGAGUCAAGUUGUGGCCUUUGAAUGAUUCUCCUAUUCCUGCAAUAGCCACUCCUGAAGUUACUCUGAGGGGACAGAGAGAAUUAGAUGUGCUUCCUAAGAAGUGCUCCAGUCGGAGAAGUUCUACCCCUGCUUCCUCUCUUGGAGAAAUUCCAAGCACUGAGUUGUAAAAGCAGCAAACUACAGCUUGGGAAGCCAAGCAGGGAAGAGAGCAGUGAGGCAGCUCUGGAGGUGCUUCACCACCUGCUUGUCUGCUCUUUGCUCAAAAUCGCUGAUCAGAAACCCCGAACCCACGUUGUCUUCCCUCACAGAAAUGAAUCCCUAUUCAAGGCUCAGAUUAUUCAAUAAUGAAAUCCACAGGCAUGGUGGUGACUUUCGCUGGAUUAUGAAGGUCAAAAUGCCAGUUCUUCAGAACUGAGAAAUCUCUGGUGAAAUCUCCUUCUCAUUUCAGAUUUCAGAGCUCUAUCUUUCUCUGUGCACUUGCAUUUGCAUCUUUGAAAACUGGAAUGAGCUAUUAACUGCUAGCAUCAUUCUGGUGGGGAAAGAAAAAUUAAGAGACAAGGGUCAAGAUUGAUCAAGAAUUAUUUACAGUCAUUCUGAAAAUUUGACAGUACUGAGAUUCAGAAAAAAUGCUUACUAACCACAGAGAGCUACAGCAGGAGAGACAGGAGUAGAGUCUCUUUCAAAGACACACCAGGCUUCAGCUUGGGGUUCACGGUUCCAAGAGCAGGUCACCAGGUGGUUGGUCUCAGAAAUGUUUCUUUCAUAUGACUGGGUUUGUGUCAUAUCUGCUGUACACUGAGCAGCACAAAUUGAUAUUUUAAAAGCCCAUCUUUAGUUCUUAUUUUUUGAGCAUGGCAUCCAUUUAUUUCUCUGUGAGCAAAUAUUCAUAGCUGUGAACAAAUUCUUUUCAUAAUCAAGGGAAAAAAGACUCUUGAGACUCUUCAGCACCAGGAAGAAAAAUGUUUUCAAAAUAGCUAUAAACAGGAGUUGCAAGUGUCUUCAGCUGUUCAUGCCCUGUUGCUUUGCAGCGGGCUUUUCAUCACUGUCUGUCAGCCUGGGCUAUGGAUGUUUCUGCAGGGACUCUCUUUUCCUCAUCAGUUCUCAGCAGUCCAGGAUUAAACAUAUCUGAUUGCUUAAUAUGUAUCCAUUAAGCCAGUAAUGAGUAAUUGCUGCACUGGUUUCCUUCAGUGACUGAGAGGCUGACAUUUUUCUGAUGUCUUUCCUUUAGAGAGCUUAAGUUAAUUGAACCCUAAAUGAAAAGCUUCAUCCUGAAUCUCUGAAGCCAGUGGUGGUUUUGUCAUGACCUCGGGGGAAAAGGCACGAGGCCCUAUGGGCACAAUUUGGGAAAUUCUCAUUUGCAUGUCUGAUACUCUUGAGGCACCACUGUGAAUAGGAUUAACCAUCAGAAGAGAACUGCAGUCACAAAAUCAAUGCUACGCCCUCUGCAGCUGAGAGUCAUUUUCUAAACAAUGGAAGUUGUUUUAUGCUAUGAAAGGGUUAAGCACCUCUGCCUGAAGGAGAAUGAGUAAUAACUGCUGAAAAAAUGGGCCCAGCUCUGUACACAUCCUCAGUCCCCAGGAAGUCACUUCAUUGUAGUUGCAAGCGUACGCAUUUGGAUGCAUGAAUGUCAUGUAUACAUUUAAUGCUGUGGAAUUAAUGAGAACACUUCACAGUUUAAGUGGAGUAGGUGGCUUGGUAAUGCAGAAUCAGAACAAGAGAGCAAAGAGAGAAGAAAGAGGCAGAUGUGCAGCAAAGUGCAGACCCAGGUUGUUUCCACUGCAGACACGCACUUUAUAACAGACAUUGAGCAGGAUUUUUGCUGAAAGAAUUCACCAAGGUUUUAUGUUGGCUGUCUUAGAUUAAAUUAAAUACAAAGGAGAGGAGAAGAGUUAAUGUAGGUAAGAAAAAGAGGUAAACCAAUAACUGAUGCCUUUCUUUACCAGUACAAUUGAUUCAAAAACCCAACUUGAAUUACAUCACUAUUUCAAAUUCUCAUUUUUUUCCCCCUACAUUUUCAUUUCCAAGUUGAGGAAAACUUAAGCUUCAAAAUCCUAAGUGUAUAAGAUGUGUUCUUAAUUAAAUUUUUGGUAAGCAUUAGAGACAUAAAUGUAAAAAAAAUUAUUAUUUGAAUGGCUUCAUUUUGAAAGCAUAAGGCGUAUAUAUCCAACAAUAAUGUCAAUCGUUUUUUAGUUUUUCCUCUUGCAAAUUAAAUAAUCUUCAGAACAAA
Molecule: long non-coding RNA, 3070 nt
Organism: Taeniopygia guttata (zebra finch)
Lineage: Eukaryota; Metazoa; Chordata; Aves; Passeriformes; Estrildidae
Source: Ensembl